GACGAACGCUGGCGGCGUGCUUAACACAUGCAAGUCGAACGGAAAGGCCCUGCUUUUGUGGGGUGCUCGAGUGGCGAACGGGUGAGUAACACGUGAGUAACCUGCCCUUGACUUUGGGAUAACUUCAGGAAACUGGGGCUAAUACCGGAUAGGAGCUCCUGCUGCAUGGUGGGGGUUGGAAAGUUUCGGCGGUUGGGGAUGGACUCGCGGCUUAUCAGCUUGUUGGUGGGGAAGUGGCUUACCAAGGCUUUGACGGGUAGCCGGCCUGAGAGGGUGACCGGCCACAAUGGGACUGAGAUACGGCCCAGACUCCUACGGGAGGCAGCAGUGGGGAAUAUUGCACAAUGGGCGGAAGCCUGAUGCAGCAACGCCGCGUGCGGGAUGACGGCCUUCGGGUUGUAAACCGCUUUCGCCUGUGACGAAGCGUGAGUGACGGUAAUGGGUAAAGAAGCACCGGCUAACUACGUG
Molecule: ribosomal RNA, 468 nt
Filed under: uncultured bacterium
Lineage: Bacteria
Description: partial 16S ribosomal RNA
Rfam family: Bacterial small subunit ribosomal RNA
Source: RNAcentral